RNAcentral lists this ribosomal RNA (868 nucleotides) under uncultured Cyphobasidiales. RNAcentral's name for it is "SSU rRNA". It matches the Rfam family "Eukaryotic small subunit ribosomal RNA", at positions 429 to 1456 of the family's 1831-position model. Lineage: Eukaryota; Fungi; Basidiomycota; Cystobasidiomycetes; Cyphobasidiales. The record is from RNAcentral.
CAGCGCGCAAAUUAUCCCAUCCCGACACGGGGAGAUAGUGACAUAAAUACAAUAUAGGCUCUUUGGGUCUUAUAAUUGGAAUGAGUACAAUUUAAAUCCCUUAACGAGGAUCAAUUGGAGGGCAAGUCUGGUGCCAGCAGCCGCGGUAAUUCCAGCUCCAAUAGCGUAUAUUAAAGUUGUUGCCGUUAAAAAGCUCGUAGUCGAACUUCGGCUUCUGCCGCCCGGUCCGCCUUUUUGGGUGUGUACUGGAGCGGUGGAGGCUUACCUCGUGGUGAGCAAUCAUACCCUUCACUGGGCGUGGUUGGGAACCAUGAUUUUUACUUUGAAAAAAUUAGAGUGUUCAAAGCAGGCUUACGCCCGAAUACAUUAGCAUGGAAUAAUAAAAUAGGACGUGCGGUUCUAUUUUGUUGGUUUCUAGGAUCGCCGUAAUGUUAGGGGAUCGAAAACGAUCAGAUACCGUUGUAGUCUUAACAGUAAACGAUGCCGACUAGGGAUCGGACGAGGAUUUUUAAUGACUCGUUCGGCACCUGAAGAGAAAUCUUUAAGUCUAGGUUCGGGGGGGAGUAUGGUCGCAAGGCUGAAACUUAAAGGAAUUGACGGAAGGGCACCACCAGGUGUGGAGCCUGCGGCUUAAUUUGACUCAACACGGGGAAACUCACCAGGUCCAGACACGACAAGGAUUGACAGAUUGAUAGCUCUUUCUUGAUUUCGUGGUUGGUGGUGCAUGGCCGUUCUUAGUUGGUGGAGUGAUUUGUCUGGUUAAUUCCGAUAACGAACGAGACCUUAACCUGCUAAAUAGCCGUCCGGCUUGGCUGGUCGCUGGCUUCUAGAGGACUAUCAGCGUUAGCUGAUGGAAGUUGAGGCAUAC